UCGGGGUUAGUGGCGGACGGGUGAGUAACGCGUGAGGAUCUGCCCUUAGGAGGGGAACAACAGUUGGAAACGACUGCUAAUGCCCCAUAUGCCGAGAGGUGAAACAGUUAAUUCUGCCUAGGGAUGAACUCGCGUCUGAUUAGCUAGUUGGUUGGGUAAUGGCCGACCAAGGCGACGAUCAGUAGCUGGUCUAAGAGGAUGAUCAGCCACACUGGGACUGAGACACGGCCCAGACUCCUACGGGAGGCAGCAGUGGGGAAUUUUCCGCAAUGGGCGAAAGCCUGACGGAGCAAUACCGCGUGAGGGAGGAAGGCCUUAGGGUUGUAAACCUCUUUUCUCUGGGAAGAAGAUCUGACGGUACCAGAGGAAUAAGCCUCGGCUAACUCCGUGCCAGCAGCCGCGGUAAGACGGAGGAGGCAAGCGUUAUCCGGAAUUAUUGGGCGUAAAGCGUCCGUAGGCGGUUAAUUAAGUCUGUUGUUAAAGCCCACAGCUCAACUGUGGAUCGGCAAUGGAAACUGGUUGACUAGAGUGUGGUAGGGGUAGAGGGAAUUCCCGGUGUAGCGGUGAAAUGCGUAGAUAUCGGGAAGAACACCAGUGGCGAAGGCGCUCUACUGGGCCACAACUGACGCUGAUGGACGAAAGCUAGGGGAGCGAAAGGGAUUAGAUACCCCUGUAGUCCUAGCUGUAAACGAUGGAUACUAGGUGUUGGACGUAUCGACCCGUGCAGUACCGUAGCUAACGCGUUAAGUAUCCCGCCUGGGGAGUACGCACGCAAGUGUGAAACUCAAAGGAAUUGACGGGGGCCCGCACAAGCGGUGGAGGAUGUGGUUUAAUUCGAUGCAACGCGAAGAACCUUACCAAGGCUUGACAUCCUGCGAAUCUUUCAGAGAUGAGAGAGUGCCUUCGGGAGCGCAGAGACAGGUGGUGCAUGGCUGUCGUCAGCUCGUGUCGUGAGAUGCUGGGUUAAGUCCCGCAACGAGCGCAACCCUCGUCCUUAGUUGCCAUCAUUAAGUUGGGCACUCUGGGGAGACUGCCGGGGACAACUCGGAGGAAGGUGGGGACGACGUCAAGUCAUCAUGCCCCUUACGUCUUGGGCUACACACGUCCUACAAUGCUACAGACAGAGGGCAGCAAGCUCGCGAGAGCAAGCAAAUCCCAUAAACUGUGGCUCAGUUCAGAUUGCAGGCUGCAACUCGCCUGCAUGAAGGCGGAAUCGCUAGUAAUCGCAGGUCAGCAUACUGCGGUGAAUACGUUCCCGGGCCUUGUACACACCGCCCGUCACACCAUGGGAGUUGGCCACGCCCGAAGUCGUUACUCUAACCGUUCGCGGAGGAGGGCGCCGAAGGCAGGGCUGAUGACUGGGGUGAAGUCGUAACAAGGUA
RNAcentral lists this ribosomal RNA (1382 nucleotides) under metagenome. RNAcentral's name for it is "bacterial SSU rRNA". It matches the Rfam family "Bacterial small subunit ribosomal RNA". The record is from RNAcentral.